Molecule: long non-coding RNA, 201 nt
Filed under: Elaeis guineensis (African oil palm)
Lineage: Eukaryota; Viridiplantae; Streptophyta; Magnoliopsida; Arecales; Arecaceae
Description: long non-coding RNA (EGUI_LNC033907)
Source: RNAcentral
GGUUUGCUAUAUCCACUUCUUCAUUGAAUUCUAGAUCAUGCUCAUUCUCAUCUUCAAAAGACCCAUGCACACUUCUCAACUCCUCAUUGUAUAAAGCAUCCUCAGUAAAAUCAUCUGAGGAGAUGUGCUCUCCUUCUAUAGAUGAUCUGCAAUAUCAACAUGAUCAGGAGGUAUAAACAAAUAAUCUUCAUGAGUGGGGCC